CACGGGUGCGUACGCGUNGUAAUCUACUAUAACUGGGGAAUAGCUUCCGAAAGGAGAUAAUACCGGAUGAUAUCACGAACGGGCUCGUUUGGUGAUCAAAACUCCGGUGGUUAUAGAUGAGCAUGCGUGACAUUAGCUAGUUGGUGAGGUAACGGUCACCAAGGCGACGAUGUCUAGGGGUCUGAAGGAUGAUCCCCCAACUGGUACUGAACACGGACCAACUCCUACGGGAGGCACAUAAGGAAUAUUGGACAAUGGCCGCAAGGUGAUCCAGCCAUGCCGCGUGAAGGAUGAAGGUGCUAUGCAUUGUAAACUUCUUUUGUCCCGGAAUAAACCCCUGAUUUCUAUCGGGGCUGAAUGUACGGGAAGAAUAAAGGGACGGUAACUUCGUGCCAGCAGCCGGGUAAUACGAAGGUCCCAAGCGUAUCCGGAUUUAUGGGGUUUCAAAGGGUGCCGUAGCGGUUGGUAAUCCGGUGGAAACCUAAAUCAAUGUAAAUUGCAUUAUACUGACAAUCUUGAGUAUGGUUGAGGUGGGCCGGAAUGUGUCUUGUAGGGGAAAUGCUUAGNUUUGACCGGAAACCCGUUUUGGGGAAAGGGGCA
This 600-nucleotide ribosomal RNA is filed under the name uncultured bacterium. RNAcentral's name for it is "bacterial SSU rRNA". It matches the Rfam family "Bacterial small subunit ribosomal RNA", at positions 100 to 728 of the family's 1533-position model. The record is from RNAcentral.